RNA transcript from Passer montanus (Eurasian tree sparrow), 7046 nucleotides. It is a transcript of the gene named multiple C2 and transmembrane domain containing 1, with no coding region annotated. The record is from RefSeq and is a predicted model, not a curated record. NCBI's taxonomy places the organism in Eukaryota, Metazoa, Chordata, Aves, Passeriformes, Passeridae. The transcript is spliced from 17 exons.
GCUGCCGCCACCGCCGCCCCCGUCGCAGGAGGAGAAGGAUGGAGUCGGGCAAAGAGCCCCGAGUGACCACGGAGGAGAAGCCCAGCGAAGCAGAGCCGGCAGUUUCCUUCCAGGCCCGGCUGUGGAAGAACCUGCAGCUGGGGGGCAAGGGCCGGAGCGGAGGCGGGCGGGCAGCAGCCGAGCGCCGCACUGCGGAGCCCCUCGCUCCGCCGCCGCCGGCCGGCAGCAAAGGGGACCUCCAGCCCGGUGGCAAGUGGAGCGGCUUCAAGCGACGGCGGCAAGUGCUAGACCGCGUCUUUUCGUCCUCCCAGCCCAACCUAUGCUGCUCUGCAGCCGAGCCGCUGGAGCCGGCCGGCGAGUCCGGCUCCGCCCUGCGCCGCCUGCGGGAGCACCUGCUUCCCCAAGGCAAGGGCCCGCCGCCCGGCCGCCGCCCGGAGCCCGCCGCCGGCUGUGAGGGGCCGGCGGGUGGCAGGGAGGGGCGCCGGCCCGGGGCGCACCUGUCCCACCAGAAGAGCUCCUCGCUGCCCAGCACCGCCUGCCUGGAGCAGCUGCUGCAGGGCUCGCCCGCCGCCGGCAGCAUCCAGGACCAGCGGACGGAGGACGGCGACAGCAGCGCGAGAACAAAUUCAUUUGGAACUAGUAAUGCAGAUUUCCCCUCUGGGGACCCUGGAAUGUACCAGUUGGAUGUUACUCUAAGAAGAGGACAGAAUCUAGCUGCACGGGACCGUGGAGGAACAAGUGAUCCAUAUGUCAAGUUCAAACUUGGAGGAAAAGAAGUAUUUAGAAGUAAAACAGUACACAAGAACCUCAAUCCUGUGUGGGAAGAAAAAGCUUACAUUCUUAUAGAUAACCUAAGAGAACCAUUGUAUAUAAAGGUAUUUGAUUAUGACUUUGGACUUCAAGAUGACUUCAUUGGUUCAGCAUUUUUGGAUCUCACGUCCCUGGAAUUAAACAGGCAAACAGAUGUUACCUUGAGUCUGAAGGAUCCUCAUUACCCUGACCAUGAUCUGGGAAGUAUAUUCCUGACAGUUCUGUUGGCUCCAGGAGACCAGCGAGAAGUGACAAUGCUGAUGAGGAAGAGUUGGAAAAGAUCAAGUAAGUUUCAGACCCAGAGCUUACGUCUCUCAGACCUGCACAGAAAGUCUCAGUUAUGGAGAGGGAUAGUUAGUGUUACCUUAAUAGAAGGUCGUGAACUUAAGCCGAUGGAUGCAAAUGGGCUCAGCGAUCCUUAUGUGAAGUUUCGUUUGGGGCAUCAGAAGUACAAGAGCAAGAUUGUUCCAAAAACUUUGAAUCCUCAGUGGAGGGAGCAGUUUGACUUUCAUCUCUAUGAAGAACGAGGUGGAAUUAUUGAUAUUACCGUGUGGGACAAAGAUGUUGGCAAAAAGGAUGAUUUCAUUGGCAGGUGCCAGAUUGACCUGUCAACUCUGAGUAAAGAACAAACCCACAAGUUGGAGAUGCCGCUAGAGGAGGGAGAGGGAUACCUGGUGUUGCUGGUCACUCUCACAGCAUCAGCUGCAGUCACUAUCUCUGACCUCUCCAUCAACUCCCUGGAGGACCAGAAGGAGCGAGAGGAGAUUCUGAAGAGAUAUAGUCCAAUGAUGAUGUUUCAUAACAUCAGCGAUGUGGGAUUUCUGCAGGUGAAGGUCAUCAGGGCAGAAGCAUUGAUGGCAGCUGAUGUCACAGGUAAAAGUGACCCAUUUUGUGUAGUUGAAUUGAACAAUGACAGACUGCUGACACAUACUGUCUACAGGAAUCUCAAUCCAGAAUGGAACAAAAUCUUCACAUUCAAUAUAAAGGACAUCCACUCAGUGCUUGAAGUGACAGUUUACGACGAAGACCGUGAUCGAAGUGCUGACUUUCUAGGCAAAGUUGCUAUACCAUUGCUGUCUAUUCAAAAUGGUGAACAGAAAGCCUACGUCUUGAAAAACAAGCAGCUGACAGGGCCAACAAAGGGGGUCAUCUAUCUUGAAAUAGAUGUGAUUUUUAAUGCUGUGAAAGCCAGCAUACGAACCUUAAUGCCCAAAGAACAGAAGUACAUUGAAGAGGAAGACAGACUGUCUAAACAGCUACUGUUAAGGAACUUCAUCCGGAUGAAGCAUUGUAUCAUGGCGCUCGUUACUUCUGUCUGCUAUAUUAGCAGUUGUUUUGACUGGGACUCUCCACCAAGAAGUCUAGCUGCUUUUUUGUUGUCUUCUAGGGGCUAGAAAAUCUCACACUGAAAUGUCAGUUCCAGAAACAAGAUGAGAAAUGGGCUGUUCUGGAGGUUUUCAGCCCUUUAGCCAGACUAAGAAACAACAUAUGAAAAGUAAAGCUUUAAACUAACCAUUUCCUCAUCCUGUUGGAUUUGAAAAUGUACUGUGAUGGGUGCAUCCUGAUACAGAGUUACAGUCAUUUCACCUAAGUUGCCUGUAGUGACUGCAUACUUGUGAAACCAGUCUAACACUGAGAUUUAUUGUCCAACACAGACCUGUGCCAUUUUCAGUAAUGUAGAGCAUCCUGUGUGCCGUCCAGCUGCUGUCCCAGAAGAGUAUGUGUCUCUCUUAGGUUCUCUGUCAUUUCUGCCAUUACCAUCCAGGUGACUGGGGUGCCCACCCAAGGGUGUCUAAAAUGGCACUAGCUCUACCUUUAAGCAUUUUAAUUGCUCCCUUAGGUGUUUAUUUUUCCUGCAUAUACAUUUUAGUACGUAACUAGAUGCUGUUCUUAGUUUCUGCAUAAUCUUAUAUGUGUCCCCCACACAUAUGCUGUGUGGGGAAUUACUUUCCUUAUUUUGUGUUUUAUCAAACAGGAGUUGACAGCAGCAUAAAACAUUGGUAUCCCAUGUCUUAAACUCUUCCUUCAAUACUAUACCAUUUUUCCCACAUAUUCUCCUUAGAAAGCUGACAAUAUUCUGGAAAUAUUUAACUACCAAAUCUUUUUGAAUGCUAUUAUAGCUUGAUACUCCAAAAGGUCUGUUUAGGAUUACCUAAAAAGUUCUAAAAACAAGCUUAGAUUUCCUGUUAAGACAGUAAUGUGACUAAAAAUCUGGGCAGCCAAUUAGUGUGAGUUGCAGUCUUACUAUGCAGGAUGCUUCUGAUAACCCAAGGUAAGUACAAGACAGUCCUCCACUGCCUGGUUUACUGGAGGAGUAGCAGAGUGGACCACUGGGCUCACAGAGACGGCUUGCAUUGCAUCACCAGUUCUUACUUGCCCUCUCCUCAUUGCAUAAAAAAGUAUUGAAUUAAAAACUUUGCACUUGAAGGAAUUCAGACAUCAUUGACACUGAAUUUGGAUAAUUACUAAGUAGCUUGGGUAUUCUAAGGUAGUUGUGUACCCUAUCAUCCUCCAGUUCCCUGAGGUGCCAUUUCACAGUUAUCUCAGAAGAUCUUGGCCAUUUAAACUUUCAUGACUUAGAUACUGCACAUGGUUGAGUUAUAAGACAUCUUUUUCAUCAUCUUUUAAUGAUAAGUAUUAUGAGAACCAACACAUUAUAAAGUCACAUUACAGAGUGUUUUACUUCCUUUUUGUUUUAGUAGGAAUGGGUAUUAUAAGGUUUGUUUUGAAAUGAAAGAACUGUAGGACACACUGAUUUCUCUGGGCCAUUCAGUAGUUAAAAUAAUGUCAUGUUAUGGGUUUGCCAAAAGUAGCAGUGUAGUAAAGAAGCAGAUAUGUUGUGUUUUGGUAAAAAAACCCCUCAAGUAAGGUAAAUCAGACAGAGAAGCAAUUGUUUCAAAUUUUUUUGAAAAUACAGUGUGCAAAAGGCUUAGAAAGGACAGAAAUUAAAUUCAGAAAUUAAUCUACCAGUUUCUUCCUAUUGCUCCUUAAGGAAUCUUCAGUGUACUUAUUCCUGUAGAGUGGUUGUUUCUUUAGUAGGUACAUAGCUGGUAGGGGAUGACAUAAGUGUCACAGUGGAAGAAUUUUCAAUGUGCUGGAUUUUACUGGAGUAAAAACACUUUAGACCAUUUUGUAACAUAUCAGAUAUGCAUAAGAAAUAUAUUUAUAUUGCUUAUAUUGCUUAACUCACAAUUUUAUAAUUUCAGUUUUGGUAGCUGAAUGGGAAAUCCAGGCUGUUAACAUAGAAAAAAGCCUUAGAGCAUAGGUUGUGUCUGCUAUAUGUGUGCUACAUAAUGCUAUAUGACUAACAGUAAUUGCUUUUUUAUUCAUGAUGUAAGUAAAGCCUUAAAAAACAAAACAAAACAAAACAAAACAAAAACAACCCUAAGUCAUCAUUGCAAAACUUUACAUAUGAAGUUUUGUCUCUUUUUCCUAAAGAGGAAGUGUCUGCCACACCUAGCUUUAUCCUAUGUUUUUAGCAAAAGAGAGAUGCUGCAUGCUUCCCAUUCCAUAAAUGUAUGGUUUGGACCUGGAAAGUGUUUGAAAGCUUGUUUUGUUCUUGUAGAUCCCUGGUGGGUGGUGAUGCUGUUUGUGGUGAUGAUGAUACCCCACAUGUGAGGUGGACUUGCAAUGCAAGAAGCUUUGUUUCCAGUGCAACUCCACUGAGAUAUGUAGGGAAGUCCUGUGAAAGCAGUGGUCUUUUACAAUCGUUUUUUUUUUGUCAGACAGGGAAAUUCCCUUGUGACAGAGUGUGAAAAAGCCGUAGCACUAGAAAUUGUCCCUUAUAUGGAAUAACAAGUCUGUGUACUGAGCAGACGGUUUUAAUGUCAAGGGGACAAAUCUCUGAAGGGCGCUGUUGCAGAAAAAAACACUUAUGAAGUUUAAAAAGUUUGGAUAUUUUUACUUUUCUGCUAAAUUAUGUAUGACCUAUACAGCAGUUUAUUAGCAUAAUUUUUAUUGUAUAGUGUCAGUCAAGGUUAAUGAGGUUUCCACUCAGGUUGUUUUCCAUCCCUGAAAGAUUAAAACAUUUUCCAAAAACUAGUGCUUUCCUGAACUACUUGUAUAUGUGCUUUUCUCCUAUCCCUCCCAAGGCAGCACCUAAAGAUCUUGGUGACAAAGGUGAAUCAUACAAAUUACUAUCCAGGCACAAUGUUUUCUUAAAUUUCUCAGAUAAAGGCCAAACAUGUGUUUGCAGUUUUGUGAAGAAAAUAUUCUUGUAGCUUUAGCCACACCACUGGUAAAGCCUGCAUGUUUGCAAUGGUCCAUCUUGCACAGUAACUUUUUGUACUGGUCAUGACAAUAUUAAGAGGAGCAAAAACUGCCUCAAAGAUCAUUUUAAUCAAGCAUCAGUGUAUGAAACAGUGUCGUCUAGAUAGUUUUUUAAUACAAGUAUCAUGCUUAAGUGAUUUAACUUCUGCAGGAAAGAAGAAUUUCAGUUGACCUUGAAGUAAAAAGCCUGUAAAUGUCAUAACCAUUUGUUUGAUGAAAGCAGGUUUUUUUCUUCUUUUUUUUUAGCUUAUUUACUCUUAGAAAGAAAAAAAGGACAUGUUUAUACAUGCAAUCUGUUCAAUAUUUUGCAAUAAACAAGGUGACAAUUUAAAAAGUAUUGUUUAUUUUGGGUUCAGUGGCAGAUUGUAUUUAUUCCAGGGUAAGUAUUAACACCAGUAGAAAUAACUAGAGCUGGGACUCCAAUUGUUACUGAAGAGAAAAAACAAUUGAUCGCUGUAAACCAAAUGGCUGUAGCUGAUGUUGAAUAGACUUACAACUGUAUGGCAGAUCUGUGAGUUUGUACAUUUUCAUGAAUAAAAUCUACACUAUUACUGUUGCUCUGAAGUUACAAGAAACAACUGCUUUCCAGGUAUACAAGUACUGUAUGGAAAACCCACUGAUUUUCAAAAAUAGAAAAAUUAACAUAAUUUAGUCUUAUUUAUUUGGUAUUGACCACCACUCUCACAGCUGUUAUUAGCACUACAGAGUUAAAACUGGUAUUGUGUCAUUGGAACUUUUGGUAUUACCUUACCUUUCUCCUCAGUUCUUAAGUGCUUGUGACUGUUUAGCUGUUCUCACUCUGAUUCUUCCUGGUGCUCAUUUACAAGGCAGAGAAAAAAAUCUCUUCCUUAUCUCAGACCAGAAGGCACAGGUGCAUGCAUUUGAAUCUUUAUUUUCCAAUGAGAAAUCUUUCAUUUUCCAGGAAAAGUCUGUUUUUAAAAUUAAAACCAGCUAAUUCCUUUGAAAGUGGGUAAUCAAUACUGUAAGGGAUACCAAUAAUGUUUAUAAAAGCAUGUUUUCCUUUAAAAAGAAAGAGUGACUAAUUUUUGUUUCAUAUACAGUAUUCUUAAUAAUACCAGCAGAUAAUGUAUUCCUUUAACAUGAGUUAAAUUUAAAGGUAGGUUUUUUAAUAUUUGCCACCAUAUUAAUAAUUACUUGCUUAAAGCUUGUUAGCAGAGGGAGUCUGAGUUAAUAAACACUUUGUAGCAUUAGUGUAUAAAACACAGUGUACUUUUCCCAAGACAAUGAUUACCAGCAUAAGACCACAUUAACAACACCUAAUGCUUGUUCCUUAAAUGUGCUUGAUUUUCAUCUCUACGAAAUAGUAUCAAAAUAUUGCAGCAAGUAAACAUGGAAAUGUAUUGGAGUGAUUUAUUUUAUAGUAGAGGUAACUAACGCCUUGCUUGAGCUUUGUUUCUGUAUUACAUUAUUCUCUUCAUAGCACUGCAGCUUCACAUCAGCCAGAAAAGGGAAUCUAAUCCUGAAGCUUCUUUAACACAACUCCAGUGAAACACAUUAAAAAGAAGUUAUUUCUUCAUUACAGUCCAUUAGCUGGAAAUUUGGAAAAUAACUGCAGUGUGCUGGUAGGUCUUUAUAAUGUAGUAAUUUCACAUUCAAGAAUUGCUUUGGCUGUAGUUUAUGGAGUUUUAAUAUUCCUGCUUUGCUGCAAGUGUGCUUCAGAUUUUCAUUAGCUACUUUGAUUUCAUCAGUAUAAGCAAGAUACAUCUCUAUAAAUUACUGAUUUACUGGAACAUGUUUCUUUGCUUCAGAGUUGAGAGCUCUGUCAGCCCCAUCCAAUAGAUGGUGGGCCAGUCUGGAGUUACCUGCCAGAGCCUGGGCUGCCCACCCGGGUCAGGCACUCUUCUGCCACUCCACUGCACCACCUGCACACCUGCAAACUGAGACAUGCCCCAUUCAGCCCUGCAAGAACAGCUCUAUUGUUGCCUUUUCUGAGGGAAAAUUAUUCC